AGUGAACGCUGGCGGCGUGCCUAAGACAUGCAAGUCGAACGAUAAAGCACCUUCGGGUGUGAUUAAAGUGGCGCACGGGUGAGUAACACUUGGGUAACCUACCCUUCAGGAGGGGGAUAACCUCGGGAAACCGGGCUAAUACCGCGUAAGCCUAAUUUUUCUGCGGAUUAAUUAGGGAAAGCUUUUGCGCUGAAGGAUGGGCCCGAGCCCGAUUAGUUUGUUGGUGGGGUAAUGGCCUACCAAGACUACGAUUGGUAGCUGGUCUGAGAGGAUGAUCAGCCACACUGGUACUGGAACACGGACCAG
This 306-nucleotide ribosomal RNA is filed under the name uncultured bacterium. RNAcentral's name for it is "bacterial SSU rRNA". It matches the Rfam family "Bacterial small subunit ribosomal RNA", at positions 29 to 334 of the family's 1533-position model. The record is from RNAcentral.